GUGAGGAAUUUUCCGCAAUGGGCGAAAGCCUGACGGAGCAAUGCCGCGUGAAGGAUGAAGGCCUAUGGGUUGUAAACUUCUUUUCUCAGAAAAGAAUUAUGACGGUAUCUGAGGAAUAAGCAUCGGCUAACUCUGUGCCAGCAGCCGCGGUAAGACAGAGGAUGCAAGCGUUAUCCGGAAUGAUUGGUCGUAAAGCGUCUGUAGGUUGUUUAAAAAGUAUUCUGUCAAAGAUUAGGGCUUAACCCUAGAUAGGCAGAAUAAACUUUUAAGCUAGAGUUUGGUAGAGGCAGAGGGAAUUCCCGGUGGAGCGGUGAAAUGCGUAGAUAUCGGGAGGAACACCAAAGGCGAAGGCACUCUGCUGGGCCAAUACUAACACUGAGAGACGAAAGCGAGGGGAGCAAAUGGGAUUAGAUACCCGAGUAGUCC
This 426-nucleotide ribosomal RNA is filed under the name uncultured bacterium. RNAcentral describes it as "partial 16S ribosomal RNA". It matches the Rfam family "Bacterial small subunit ribosomal RNA", at positions 354 to 796 of the family's 1533-position model. The record is from RNAcentral.